This 475-nucleotide ribosomal RNA is filed under the name uncultured Corynebacterium sp. RNAcentral describes it as "bacterial SSU rRNA". It matches the Rfam family "Bacterial small subunit ribosomal RNA", at positions 917 to 1391 of the family's 1533-position model. The record is from RNAcentral. Lineage: Bacteria; Bacillati; Actinomycetota; Actinomycetes; Mycobacteriales; Corynebacteriaceae.
GGGCCCGCACAAGCGGCGGAGCAUGUGGAUUAAUUCGAUGCAACGCGAAGAACCUUACCUGGGCUUGACAUAUGCAGGAUCGGCACAGAGAUGUGUUUUCCCUUGUGGUCUGUAUACAGGUGGUGCAUGGUUGUCGUCAGCUCGUGUCGUGAGAUGUUGGGUUAAGUCCCGCAACGAGCGCAACCCUUGUCUUGUGUUGCCAGCACGUUAUGGUGGGGACUCGCGAGAGACUGCCGGGGUUAACUCGGAGGAAGGUGGGGAUGACGUCAAAUCAUCAUGCCCCUUAUGUCCAGGGGCUUCACACAUGCUACAAUGGUCGGUACAGUGGGUUGCGAUGCCGUGAGGUGGAGCUAAUCCCUUAAAGCCGGUCUCAGUUCGGAUUGGAGUCUGCAACUCGACUCCAUGAAGUCGGAGUCGCUAGUAAUCGCAGAUCAGCAACGCUGCGGUGAAUACGUUCCCGGGCCUUGCACACACC